Molecule: ribosomal RNA, 443 nt
Filed under: uncultured bacterium
Lineage: Bacteria
Description: bacterial SSU rRNA
Rfam family: Bacterial small subunit ribosomal RNA
Source: RNAcentral
CCUACGGGGGGCAGCAGUGGGGAAUAUUGCACAAUGGGGGAAACCCUGAUGCAGCGACGCCGCGUGAAGGAAGAAGGCUUUCGGAUCGUAAACUUCUAUCAGCAGGGAAGAAUAAAGUGACAGUACCAGACUAAGAAGCCCCGGCCAACUACGUGCCCGCGGGCGGGGUAACACGGAGGGGGGAAGCGUUAUCCGGAAUCACGGGGUGUGAAGGGGGCGUAGGGGGCAGGGUAAGUCAGAUGUGAAAGCACGGGGCUUCAACCGGGGGUUGCAUUUGAAACUGUCGUACUAGAGUGCAGGAGAGGAAAGUGGAAUUCCUAGUGUAGCGGUGAAAUGCGUAGAUAUUGGGAAGAACACCAGUGGCGAAGGCGGCUUUCUGGACUGUAACUGACGCUGAGGCACGAAAGCGUGGGGAGCGAACAGGAUUAGAUACCCCGGUAGUC